RNAcentral lists this ribosomal RNA (253 nucleotides) under uncultured bacterium. RNAcentral describes it as "partial 16S ribosomal RNA". It matches the Rfam family "Bacterial small subunit ribosomal RNA", at positions 524 to 776 of the family's 1533-position model. The record is from RNAcentral.
UACGGAGGGUGCAAGCGUCGUCCGGAUUUAUUGGGUUUAAAGGGUGCGUAGGCGGGAGAUUAAGUCAGCGGUGAAAUACCCCGGCUCAACCGGGGGAGUGCCAUUGAUACUGGUUUUCUUGAGUACAGACGAGGUGGGUGGAAUUUACGGUGUAGCGGUGAAAUGCAUAGAUACCGUAAAGAACUCCGAUAGCGUAGGCAGCCCACCAGCCUGGCACUGACGCUGAGGCACGAAAGCAUGGGGAUCGAACAGG